CAGUAGCCGCGGUAAUACGUAGGGUGCAAGCGUUAAUCGGAAUUAUUGGGCGUAAAGCGAGUGCAGACGGUUACUUAAGCCAGAUGUGAAAUCCCCAAGCUUAACUUGGGACGUGCAUUUGGAACUGGGUGACUAGAGUGUGUCAGAGGGAGGUAGAAUUCCACAUGUAGCGGUGGAAUGCGUAGAGAUGUGGAGGAAUACCGAUGGCGAAGGCAGCCUCCUGGGAUAACACUGACGUUGAGGCUCGAAAGCGUGGGGAGCAAACAGGAUUAGAUACCCCCGUAGUCCCUGUCUCUUAUAA
RNAcentral lists this ribosomal RNA (301 nucleotides) under uncultured bacterium. RNAcentral describes it as "partial 16S ribosomal RNA". It matches the Rfam family "Bacterial small subunit ribosomal RNA", at positions 509 to 809 of the family's 1533-position model. The record is from RNAcentral.